Molecule: long non-coding RNA, 226 nt
Organism: Ipomoea nil (Japanese morning glory)
Lineage: Eukaryota; Viridiplantae; Streptophyta; Magnoliopsida; Solanales; Convolvulaceae
Exons: 5
Source: RefSeq, a predicted model, not a curated record
ACUGUAACUUCCAAAAGACUUAAAACUUGAUUCCUGACAGUUGGUCUUGAUAUCUCUCCCCAUUUUAUGUAACAGAACCAAGACUUUGCUACAGCAUUUUCCUAGAUUGUAUAUGAUUUACUACUUUUUCCAGACAACCUCAUCAAAAUAUUACACUGUGUCACUGUUACAUCAUCAUCAUCAUUAUUAUUAUUAUUAUUAUUAUUAUUAUUAUUAUUAUUAUUAU